This is a long non-coding RNA of Habropoda laboriosa, 312 nucleotides long. RefSeq lists it as uncharacterized. The record is from RefSeq and is a predicted model, not a curated record. Lineage: Eukaryota; Metazoa; Arthropoda; Insecta; Hymenoptera; Apidae. The transcript is spliced from 4 exons.
AGAAUACUGAUUUGAUCUUACAAGAAGAACGUAUCCCGAAUUUUUUAAUAAAACUUUUUGAGGUGUAAAGAAAAUCGCCUAAUAUAAUAUUAGAAAGUAGUAAAGGCUUUGCCAGUGGUUACUACAUUUGGAACGAACCACUAAAGAAAUACAAUCAAGAGCAUUUCGUUAAUACAAACUUAAAUAAAGAAGUACCUCAUGGCACGGAAUAAACCAUUCAUAAAACCUGCAACACUAGUAAUUUUAGCUGUACCUGCUAUUUUAGGAUGUAUUUUGGGUUAUAAGUUACUUAUACACAGGUAUAUUGCACCA